RNAcentral lists this ribosomal RNA (334 nucleotides) under uncultured eukaryote. RNAcentral describes it as "partial 18S ribosomal RNA". It matches the Rfam family "Eukaryotic small subunit ribosomal RNA", at positions 1470 to 1796 of the family's 1831-position model. The record is from RNAcentral.
CCCUUAGAUGUCCGGGGCCGCACGCGCGCUACACUGAAGGAAUCAGCGUGGCUUUCUCCCUGACCGGAAAGGGUUGGGAAACCCGUUGAAUCUCCUUCGUGAUAGGGAUUGGGGCUUGAAAUUGUUCCCCAUGAACGAGGAAUUCCCAGUAAGCGCGAGUCAUAAGCUCGCGUUGAUUACGUCCCUGCCCUUUGUACACACCGCCCGUCGCUACUACCGAUUGAACGGUUUAGUGAGGGCCUCGGAUUGGUCUCGGCCCGCUCUUUACCGGGCGGCGCCGUUGGUCGAGAAGACGCUCGAACUUGAUCGUUUAGAGGAAGUAAAAGUCGUAACA